GACGAAGGGGGCUAGCGUUGUUCGGAAUUACUGGGCGUAAAGCGAGUGUAGGUGGUUGUCCAAGUUGGAUGUGAAAGCCCGGGGCUCAACUCCGGAAUUGCCUUUAAGACUGCAUCGCUAGAAUUGUGGAGAGGUGAGUGGAAUUCCGAGUGUAGAGGUGAAAUUCGUAGAUAUUCGGAAGAACACCAGUGGCGAAGGCGACUCACUGGACACAUAUUGACGCUGAGGUGCGAAAGCGUGGGGAGCAAACAGG
RNAcentral lists this ribosomal RNA (253 nucleotides) under uncultured bacterium. Its description in RNAcentral is "partial 16S ribosomal RNA". It matches the Rfam family "Bacterial small subunit ribosomal RNA", at positions 524 to 776 of the family's 1533-position model. The record is from RNAcentral.